CACAUACUUCCCCAAAUUCAAGCUAGGUAUUCUUUGGUUGAAUUCGCUUUCUCUUCAACACCGCCUCCGUCCGACACCACCACCGGCGACCACCAUCGCCUACCCUCUCUCUCUUCCUUCUUCUCUUUCUUCCCCAUUUCUCCAUUUCUUCGUUCCUGCGUGCGACGACACCCCUGUUCGUGGAGUCACCCUCUGUCCGCGUCUUCAAGCACCGACAAGCAACCACCAGCGGCGGCGACCUUCUGUGCCACUGCGACAUCACCACCAGCCCACCGCCUUUCCGUUCUUCUUCCUCCUUUCAUCAAUGCAGCACACUACACUACAACUACUACUUUCGGCAGAACAGAAAAGUACAUAAUAUAAAAGCCUCUUGCUAGCUGCUACUUUCAGGUUGAUUUCUCUACUUUCAGCUUUUUUAAAAGAUUCCCUCUCUCUCUGGUGCUGCAAAGUUAGGGUUUCCGAUGACCAGCAUUUCACAGUGGGAACUGUAGUGGUGUGGGUCAAUGGAAUCUUUUGAUCAAAGAAACAAUAGUGGAGUAUUUGGUUCUUCAGCAUAUACACUAUCACAAAGUAUUGGUAGAGUUUAAGACUCCCAGAAAAGCUAUUCAAGGAAAUUUUACUUUUUCAAGCUCUCAGAAAAGCACAGCUCUAGCCCCAGUCCCAACCCCAGUCCCAGGUAGAAAACUCCCACCUAUUCUGCAGCGACCAGGAUAACCACAGAGUUCUCAAAGGGAGGAUGAUUCUGACGAUUUUGAUGACUCAGAUGAUUAUUUAGACGAGUAUGAGUAGGUUAUUUAAUUACUUUGCUUUGAAUAUUUUGUAUUAUUAGUGGAUUGCAAUUUAAACGAAUAUAAGUCUAAGUUUUGUUAUUUAUCUUGUCUUGAGUCUUUAUGUUA
Long non-coding RNA from Arachis stenosperma, 896 nucleotides. RefSeq lists it as uncharacterized. The transcript has 5 exons. Lineage: Eukaryota; Viridiplantae; Streptophyta; Magnoliopsida; Fabales; Fabaceae. The record is from RefSeq and is a predicted model, not a curated record.